GACUACGGCCAUACCACCGUGCACGUGCCCAAUCUCGUCUGAUCUCGGAAACUAAGCAGGGUCGGGCCUGGUUAGUACUUGGAUGGGAGACCAUGUGGGAAUACUGGGUGCCAUAGUCU
RNAcentral lists this ribosomal RNA (119 nucleotides) under Aotus nancymaae (Ma's night monkey). Lineage: Eukaryota; Metazoa; Chordata; Mammalia; Primates; Aotidae. The record is from RNAcentral.